RNAcentral lists this ribosomal RNA (392 nucleotides) under Liochthonius brevis complex sp. AD1300. RNAcentral describes it as "bacterial SSU rRNA". It matches the Rfam family "Eukaryotic small subunit ribosomal RNA", at positions 594 to 945 of the family's 1831-position model. Lineage: Eukaryota; Metazoa; Arthropoda; Arachnida; Sarcoptiformes; Brachychthoniidae. The record is from RNAcentral.
AUAGCGUAUAUUAAAGUUGUUGCGGUUAAAAAGCUCGUAGUUGGAUCUCAGUUCGUGCCUAUCGGUCCUCCUCUGAAAGGUGGCCACUGGUAGUUGCCGGACAGCUUAUCGAUUAGCGUUUUCCCGAGAGGGGGCGCUCGUAAGGUCUCAUGGUGCUCUUUACCGGGUGUCAUGAGCGAUCGAUACGUUUACUUUGAAAAAAUUAGAGUGCUCAAAGCAGGCGUAGCUUAACGCAUACGUCCGAAUAAUGUUGCAUGGAAUAAUGGAAUAGGACCUCGGUUCUAUUUUGUUGGUCUUAAGAAUCUGAGGUAAUGAUUAAGAGGGACAGACGGGGACAUUCGUAUUGCGGCGCUAGAGGUGAAAUUCUUGGACCGUCGCAAGACGAACUAAGG